This 427-nucleotide ribosomal RNA is filed under the name uncultured bacterium. RNAcentral describes it as "partial 16S ribosomal RNA". It matches the Rfam family "Bacterial small subunit ribosomal RNA", at positions 355 to 774 of the family's 1533-position model. The record is from RNAcentral.
UGGGGAAUAUUGCACAAUGGGCGCAAGCCUGAUGCAGCCAUGCCGCGUGUGUGAAGAAGGCCUUCGGGUUGUAAAGCACUUUCAGCGAGGAGGAAGGGUAGUGUGUUAAUAGCACAUUGCAUUGACGUUACUCGCAGAAGAAGCACCGGCUAACUCCGUGCCAGCAGCCGCGGUAAUACGGAGGGUGCAAGCGUUAAUCGGAAUUACUGGGCGUAAAGCGCGCGCAGGCGGUUUGUUAAGUCAGAUGUGAAAUCCCCGCGCUUAACGUGGGAACUGCAUUUGAAACUGGCAAGCUAGAGUCUUGGAGAGGGGGGUAGAAUUCCAGGUGUAGCGGUGAAAUGCGUAGAGAUCUGGAGGAAUACCGGUGGCGAAGGCGGCCCCCUGGACAAAGACUGACGCUCAGGUGCGAAAGCGUGGGGAGCAAACA